GAUGAACGCUGGCGGCGUGCCUAAUACAUGCAAGUCGAGCGGACGGACGAGACGCUUGCUUGGCUGAUGUUAGCGGCGGACGGGUGAGUAACACGAGGAUAACCUACCUAUAAGACUGGGAUAACUACGGGAAACCGGAGCUCAUACCGGAUGAUAUUUUGAACCGCAUGGUUCAAAAGAGAAAGCCGGUCUUGCUGUCACUAAUAGAUGGAUCCGCGCUGCAUUAGCUAGUUGGUAGGGUAACGGCUUACCAAGGCAACGAUGCAUAGCCGACCUGAGAGGGUGAUCGGCCACACUGGAACUGAGACACGGUCCAGACUCCUACGGGAGGCAGCAGUAGGGAAUCUUCCGCAAUGGGCGAAAGCCUGACCGAGCAACGCCGCGUGAGUGAUGAAGGUCUUCGGAUCGUAAAGCUCUGUUAGUAGGGAAGAACAGAUGUGUAAUUAACUGUGCACAUCUUGACGGUACCUAAUCAGAAAGCCCCGGCUAACUACGUG
RNAcentral lists this ribosomal RNA (497 nucleotides) under uncultured bacterium. RNAcentral describes it as "partial 16S ribosomal RNA". It matches the Rfam family "Bacterial small subunit ribosomal RNA", at positions 28 to 507 of the family's 1533-position model. The record is from RNAcentral.